CGUAGAAAAUGAUUUCAAAGUCCCUUGGUUCCUUAUCCUUCUUAUAAGGAACCAAGGGACUUUGAAAUCAUUUUCU
Non-coding RNA from Pelobates cultripes (western spadefoot toad), 76 nucleotides. Lineage: Eukaryota; Metazoa; Chordata; Amphibia; Anura; Pelobatidae. The record is from the annotation of a GenBank genome assembly.